GGAGCUCUGUGCUCUGUGCUUCCAGAUUUAUCCCAUGUGACUAAACAAAGCAGCUUGGGAGGAAUGAGCUUAUCCUCUUUUCCCAACCUGAUGGACUCAGUCACAUGGCAGCAAACCAGGUGGUAGACAACACGGAACCCCAGGACUCGUCGCUUUGGAAUUUGUUGUGCCUGAAAAAGUGAUAGCCAUUGGCACCUCUGUUAAUAGGCAAUAAAGCAUUGUAGUAAGAGUAUUGUCUGUAAGGAAGAAAAUACAAGAGCCAACGCUUGUAUUCUGGUGCUGCUGCUGCUAUGCGGUGGGUUUCCUUCCUGGGGGGUUUAGGUGUGGUUGGUGGUUUGGUGAUCACAGGAGUCUCAGUUGUUACUGGAACAAUCUGACAGUUGGGUUCUUCGCUGUUCAGGUCUCUGAGCCAUGAAACGCCAAAGGAACUGGAUCUCUUCCUCAGUUCUGCAGCAAAUAUAAAAAUAGAAAAUACAUGUUUUGUUUAAUUGCUUUUGCUUUGUCCAUAAUGCAAUAAUACUGAAACUAACAACCUUUAAUAGGACAACCCUCCUAUUAAAACAGUGCCACUGGCUGCUGAUAGGUUUCCGGUUCCAAUUCAAGGUACUGGUUAUCACCUAUAAAGCCCUAAAUGAUUCGGGUCCAGCUUAUCUUUGUGAUCGCAUUUCCUACUACGAGCCUGCGUGGUCUCUGAGCUCUGCUUGGGAGUCCCUCUCGCUUUCAUCUCAAACAUGGUUGGUGGGCAUGAGGGAGAGGACCUUCUUGCCAGUGCCCCCCCAGCUCUGGAACUCCCUCUUGAGAGAAAUUAAACUAGUCCCUACCCUGGCCACAUUCUGUAAAUAUCUGAAAAUCUGGCUAUUUAAAUGUGCGUUUGAUUACAUUGGCAUAAAUUGACAACUGUCCCUUACCUCCACCUAGACCCAGUUACUGCACUUCUUCUGGUCCAUUCAGUAGAGUUUUAUAAGAGAUUGAACACAGACAACAUUUGCCUUGCCCCCAAUGGAAUAUGUUUACUGCAGUUAUUGCUUGAGUCACUUAGGCGAUCCCUCGUAGUUCGAAGAUGAUUGUCUUCCAUCUCUGUUGAUUGGGGGUGUGUCCGUAGGUGGCUGAAGAGACCUAUUCUUGACCUGCAUGUUCUCUCGCAGUGAGGACAUUGGUUUCCAGGUGGAAGGCGGUCCCUGUCAGGGUUGGCUUGAUGGGCCUUCCUCUUGGCACAUUUCUCCCUUAAGCCCUCCAUUCGUGCCUCUUCGAACUCCUCAGCACUGCUGGUCACAGCUGACCUCCAAUUAGAGUGCUCAAGGGCCAGAGCUUCCCAGUUCUCAGUGUCUAUGCCACAGUUUUUAAGGUUGGCUUUAAGCCCAUCUUUAAAUCUCUUUUCCUGCCCACCAACAUUAUGUUUCCCGUUCAUGAAAUCGGAGUAGAUUAACUGCUUUGGGAGACGGUGAUCGGGCAUUUGGACAACGUGGCCAGUCCAGCAGAGUUGAUGUCGUAGGAGCAUCGCUUCAGUGCUGGUGGUCUUUGCUUCCUCAAGCACGCUGACAUUUGUCCGCCUGUCUUCCCAAGAGAUUUGUAGGAUUUUUCUGAGGCAACACUGAUGGAAACGUUCUAGGAGUUGAGUGUGAUGUCUGUAGACCGUCCAUGUUUCGCAGGCCUAGAGCAGGGUUGGGAGGACAAUGCCUUUGUAAACAAGCACCUUGGUAUCUCUACAGAUGUCCCGAUCCUCAAACACUCUCUGCUUCAUACGGAAAAAUGCUGCACUCGCAUUAUGUUUUAAUGUAUUAUAUGUUUUAUGUUUAUAUGUUUUAAAUGUAUUUAUGUGAUUGUAUUUGGUGUAUUGCUGGGCUUGGUCCCCAUGUGAGCUGCCCUGAGUCUCUUUGGGAGAUGGAGCGGGAUAUAAGAAUAAAGUUGUUAUUAUUAUUGUCGAGCCCCCA
Long non-coding RNA from Anolis carolinensis (green anole), 1931 nucleotides. RefSeq lists it as uncharacterized. The record is from RefSeq and is a predicted model, not a curated record. The transcript is spliced from 2 exons. NCBI's taxonomy places the organism in Eukaryota, Metazoa, Chordata, Lepidosauria, Squamata, Anolidae.